AGUUAGUUUUAUGGUCAAGCUACUAAGGGCGCACGGUGGAUGCCUUGGCAGAAACAGGCGAUGAAGGACGUGGUCAGCUGCGAUAAGCUCCGGGGAGCCGCAAACAGGCGUUAUAUCCGGAGAUCUCCGAAUGGGGAAACCCACGGCGGCAAAACCGCCGUACGGCUCACUGAAUACAUAGGUGAGUACGAGCGAACCCAGGGAAGUGAACCAUCUCAGUACCUGGAGGAAAAGAAAGAAAUCUCGAUUCCGAAAGUAGUGGCGAGCGAAAUCGGAACAGCCCAAACCCGUGGCAUUUCGGUGCAGCGGGGGUUGUAGGGUCCGCAACAGUAGAGUUACCAAUCCAGCCAUUAGUCGAAUCCUCUGGAAAGUGGAUCCAUAGAGCGUGACAGGCGCGUAGACGAAAAUGGACUGGACUCGAAGCGGAUACCUGAGUAAGGCGGGGCACGUGAAACCCUGCUUGAAUCUACGGGGACCAUCCCGAAAGGCUAAAUACUUGUUUCUGACCGAUAGUGAACCAGUACCGUGAGGGAAAGGUGAAAAGUACCCCUGCGAGGGGAGUGAAAAGUACCUGAAACCGUGUGCCUACAAGCAGUGGGAGGGCUAUGCUCCGCAAGGAGAAUGCCUGACCGCGUGCCUAUUGCAUAAUGAGCCG
This 655-nucleotide ribosomal RNA is filed under the name uncultured Acidobacteriota bacterium. RNAcentral describes it as "bacterial LSU rRNA". It matches the Rfam family "Bacterial large subunit ribosomal RNA", at positions 1 to 622 of the family's 2925-position model. The record is from RNAcentral. Lineage: Bacteria; Pseudomonadati; Acidobacteriota.